This 662-nucleotide long non-coding RNA is filed under the name Homo sapiens (human). Its description in RNAcentral is "HSALNT0307539". The record is from RNAcentral. Lineage: Eukaryota; Metazoa; Chordata; Mammalia; Primates; Hominidae.
GCAGGAGCUUGAAUUUCAGUUUUCUUAUGAGGAAUUUUCCAGAAAAGAUAUCUUCACUGUGAAAUAACUAAAUAAAUGCCCACUCAGUACAGUCACUGUCUCCCUUUUGGAACUUGAUGGCACCUUAAGCCCAGGUUUGCCUCCACUCUAGAAACUCAUCAGAGUGAUGCCCUUCUCAAAUGGGGGAGGUCCCAAAGCGGAUAUCCUGGCAGUGUGAAAGGCCGGCUAAAGGUUUGUGCCAAGAGGAUCUGUGGAAUGCAUCUCCUACAGCUGGUGCUGCUGAGUAACCACUCUGAUCUGGCAUCUUCUUUGAUCAAGUUACAGAGCAGAGUUUCCAGGGCUGGGGAUUGAAGUCCUGCCUCCUCCCUUUGUCUCUGGUUGUCCUCGGUAAUGUUUUUCCCUCAAGGUACUCAUGAUACUUCCCAUGGGCUUUCCCUGCACUCCAAACACAGAGCUGAGACUUCCACCUAAUGUAGAAAGCUAGCACGAGCCGGCGCUGACAGAUGGAAGACUUGAGAUGUUACAAGAUUAUAUAUGGAAACACAAAAGGAGAUACCGGAGCCAUGACAGACUGUGAUGGGGCUGGUGGACAGUUCAGCAAGACAUUGAUAUUGUCCAUUGGCGCUCAGUUCAUCUGUAAUGACACAUUCAAGGAUGACGAU